UGGUCUAGUGGUUAAGGCACCAGACUUGAAAGCUGGAGACUGUGAGUUCAAGUCCUGC
This 58-nucleotide transfer RNA is filed under the name Ophiophagus hannah (king cobra). It matches the Rfam family "tRNA", at positions 8 to 63 of the family's 71-position model. Rfam says of the family: Transfer RNA (tRNA) molecules are approximately 80 nucleotides in length. The record is from Rfam by way of RNAcentral. Lineage: Eukaryota; Metazoa; Chordata; Lepidosauria; Squamata; Elapidae.